RNAcentral lists this non-coding RNA (46 nucleotides) under Trichobilharzia regenti. The record is from RNAcentral. Lineage: Eukaryota; Metazoa; Platyhelminthes; Trematoda; Strigeidida; Schistosomatidae.
GCAUUCCUGAAGAGUCCCAUAAUAGGACGAAAUAGAUGUCCAGUAC